RNAcentral lists this ribosomal RNA (474 nucleotides) under uncultured bacterium. Its description in RNAcentral is "SSU rRNA". It matches the Rfam family "Bacterial small subunit ribosomal RNA", at positions 26 to 518 of the family's 1533-position model. The record is from RNAcentral.
AGAAUCAACGCUGGCGGCGUGCCUAACACAUGCAAGUCGAACGAGAAAGGGGAGCAAUCCCUGAGUAAAGUGGCGACCGGGUGAGUAACACGUGACUAACCUACCCUCGAGUGUGGAAUAACAUCGGGAAACCGAUGCUAAUACCGCAUAACAUCGGCGCUUUUAAGAGAUGCCGAUCAAAGGAGCAAUCCGCUUGAGGAGGGGGUCGCGGCUGAUUAGCUAGUUGGCGGGGUAACGGCCCACCAAGGCGAAGAUCGGUAGCCGGCCUGAGAGGGCGCACGGCCACACUGGAACUGAAACACGGUCCAGACUCCUACGGAGGCAGCAGUGGGGAAUUUUGCGCAAUGGGGAACCCUGACGCAGCAACGCCGCGUGGAGGAUGAAGCCCGUUUGGGCGUUAAACUCCUUUCGACCAAGACGAUAAUGACGGUACUGGUGGAAGAAGCACCGGCUAACUCUGCGCCAGCACGCCGC